GAUGGAUUCAUUCCCACUCAGCUGCAUUCAUCAAGCCUUCUUCAAGCCCUUAACAGAUUCGAGUUGGAUGGAAGAACUCUGACUCAGAGUAAAGACUGGAGGACAGACACUUGAGGAGAGGCUGGAAGAGGAACUCAACCCUGGAGGAACUUGUGCAGGAGACCUCAGACUGCUUUCCUUUAAGAAGAAGAAGGGAUCACAAAAGAGUCACUGUACAGUGCCAAGAAGCACAAAGUCAAAGAGACAACCAAUUCCCAUUGGACUGAUGAGAAUGUAUUGCAAGACAGAAGACUUGUUUAAGGUUCAAGGAAGCAGCUGCUUCACAACAUCAAAUGCUGGACUCCCCCAUGCCACAUUCCAACAAGCAGCUUAGUUGAACUUUCAUUCUGGCUCCCCUAUCCCUGAUAUUAAAGAGAAAGAAGCAAGAAGCAAAUAUGAGGAAUGAGAAACCAAUAGAGAAGAGAUCCCAUUGCAAAAUCUUUCUCCUUCAUCACCACCCUUCCACAAACCCUUUCUGACUAUCUGUAGUCAGCCAAAGGAUGAAGAAAGUCAGUCUCCUAAAGGAGGUUGGAGCACAGAAGAGUUGAAUUGGAAAAGGUUGUCCUCACUUCUUAGAGAGGUAAUGUAGUGCUGGCCCAGUAAAAGAGAAAAUAUUUAUAGCAAUGUUUUCUAUCAAUAGUUAGAUAGAGAUAUGUGUGUGUUUAACAUAUAUACAUAUAUAUUUAUGUUUGUAGGUUGUGUACGCCAGAGACAAUAUGGGAUGACCAAGUUAACAUAUGCAGCCCUGAGAACCUGAAACAUUACUAGCACAAGAGCUACUGGAAUGGUGGAUGCAGCAGGAUUAAGGGCAGGUCCUAGAAUUAGCUUGAACCUGCAUACUUUUUUCUCCUGUCUCUUAUAGGACUAUUGAAUAAAUAAAAACCAUAGUAAUUACUAAUAUUUAUA
This 945-nucleotide long non-coding RNA is filed under the name Monodelphis domestica (gray short-tailed opossum). RNAcentral's name for it is "lncRNA (ENSMODG00000031300.2)". Lineage: Eukaryota; Metazoa; Chordata; Mammalia; Didelphimorphia; Didelphidae. The record is from RNAcentral.